Molecule: ribosomal RNA, 492 nt
Filed under: uncultured bacterium
Lineage: Bacteria
Description: partial 16S ribosomal RNA
Rfam family: Bacterial small subunit ribosomal RNA
Source: RNAcentral
GAUGAACGCUAGCUACAGGCUUAACACAUGCAAGUCGAGGGGAAACGACAUCGAAAGCUUGCUUUUGAUGGGCGUCGACCGGCGCACGGGUGAGUAACGCGUAUCCAACCUGCCCAUCACUUGGGAAUAACCUUGCGAAAGUAAGACUAAUACCCAAUGAUAUCCCACGAAGGCAUCGGAAUGGGAUUCAAGAUUUAUCGGUGAUGGAUGGGGAUGCGUCUGAUUAGCUUGUUGGCGGGGUAACGGCCCACCAAGGCAACGAUCAGUAGGGGUUCUGAGAGGAAGGUCCCCCACAUUGGAACUGAGACACGGUCCAAACGCCUACGGGAGGCAGCAGUGAGGAAUAUUGAUCAAUGGGCGAGAGCCUGAACCAGCCAAGUAGCGUGCAGGAAGACGGCCCUAUGGGUUGUAAACUGCUUUUAUAAGGGAAUAAAGUGGGUCACGUGUGACUUUUUGCAUGUACCUUAUGAAUAAGGACCGGCUAAUUCCGUG